RNAcentral lists this ribosomal RNA (253 nucleotides) under uncultured bacterium. RNAcentral's name for it is "partial 16S ribosomal RNA". It matches the Rfam family "Bacterial small subunit ribosomal RNA", at positions 524 to 776 of the family's 1533-position model. The record is from RNAcentral.
UACGGGGGGGGCAAGCGUUGUUCGGAAUCACUGGGCUUACAGGGUGCGUAGGCGGCUUUUCAGGUCUGGUGUGAAAUCCCCCGGCUCAACCGGGGAAUGGCAUUGGAAACCGAAAGGCUCGAGGUAGCUAGAGGCAUGCGGAACUUCCGGUGGAGCGGUGAAAUGUGUUGAGAUCGGAAGGAACACCAGAGGCGAAAGCGGCAUGCUGGGGCUAUUCUGACGCUGAGGCACGAAAGCCAGGGGAGCGAACGGG